Molecule: ribosomal RNA, 2907 nt
Filed under: Yersinia ruckeri
Lineage: Bacteria; Pseudomonadati; Pseudomonadota; Gammaproteobacteria; Enterobacterales; Yersiniaceae
Description: 23S ribosomal RNA
Rfam family: Bacterial large subunit ribosomal RNA
Source: RNAcentral
GGUUAAGCGACUAAGCGUACACGGUGGAUGCCUAGGCAGUCAGAGGCGAUGAAGGGCGUGCUAAUCUGCGAAAAGCGUCGGUAAGCUGAUAUGAAGCGUAAUAACCGACGAUACCCGAAUGGGGAAACCCAGUGCAAUUCGUUGCACUAUUGCAUGGUGAAUACAUAGCCAUGCAAGGCGAACCGGGGGAACUGAAACAUCUAAGUACCCCGAGGAAAAGAAAUCAACCGAGAUUCCCCCAGUAGCGGCGAGCGAACGGGGAAGAGCCCAGAGUCUGAAUCAGUUUGUGUGUUAGUGGAAGCGUCUGGAAAGUCGCACGGUACAGGGUGAUAGUCCCGUACACAAAAACACACUGGCUGUGAACUCGAUGAGUAGGGCGGGACACGUGACAUCCUGUCUGAAUAUGGGGGGACCAUCCUCCAAGGCUAAAUACUCCUGACUGACCGAUAGUGAACCAGUACCGUGAGGGAAAGGCGAAAAGAACCCCGGCGAGGGGAGUGAAAUAGAACCUGAAACCGUGUACGUACAAGCAGUGGGAGCACCUUCGUGGUGUGACUGCGUACCUUUUGUAUAAUGGGUCAGCGACUUAUAUUUUGUAGCAAGGUUAACCGAAUAGGGGAGCCGUAGGGAAACCGAGUCUUAACUGGGCGUCUAGUUGCAAGGUAUAGACCCGAAACCCGGUGAUCUAGCCAUGGGCAGGUUGAAGGUUGGGUAACACUAACUGGAGGACCGAACCGACUAAUGUUGAAAAAUUAGCGGAUGACUUGUGGCUGGGGGUGAAAGGCCAAUCAAACCGGGAGAUAGCUGGUUCUCCCCGAAAGCUAUUUAGGUAGCGCCUCGUGAACUCAUCUUCGGGGGUAGAGCACUGUUUCGGCUAGGGGUCCAUCCCGGAUUACCAAACCGAUGCAAACUCCGAAUACCGAAGAAUGUUAUCACGGGAGACACACGGCGGGUGCUAACGUCCGUCGUGAAGAGGGAAACAACCCAGACCGCCAGCUAAGGUCCCAAAGUCAUGGUUAAGUGGGAAACGAUGUGGGAAGGCAUAGACAGCCAGGAUGUUGGCUUAGAAGCAGCCAUCAUUUAAAGAAAGCGUAAUAGCUCACUGGUCGAGUCGGCCUGCGCGGAAGAUGUAACGGGGCUAAACCAUGCACCGAAGCUGCGGCAGCGACGCUUAGGCGUUGUUGGGUAGGGGAGCGUUCUGUAAGCCGUUGAAGGUGGCCUGUGAGGGCUGCUGGAGGUAUCAGAAGUGCGAAUGCUGACAUAAGUAACGAUAAUGCGGGUGAAAAACCCGCACGCCGGAAGACCAAGGGUUCCUGUCCAACGUUAAUCGGGGCAGGGUGAGUCGACCCCUAAGGCGAGGCUGAAAAGCGUAGUCGAUGGGAAACAGGUUAAUAUUCCUGUACUGGGUGUGACUGCGAAGGGGGGACGGAGAAGGCUAGGCUAGCCGGGCGACGGUUGUCCCGGUUUAAGCAUGUAGGCGGAGCGACUUGGUAAAUCCGGUUGCUUAUCAACGCUGAGGUGUGAUGACGAGCCACUACGGUGGUGAAGUAGUUGAUGCCAAGCUUCCAGGAAAAGCCUCUAAGCAUCAGGUGACAUUCAAUCGUACCCCAAACCGACACAGGUGGUCAGGUAGAGAAUACUCAGGCGCUUGAGAGAACUCGGGUGAAGGAACUAGGCAAAAUGGUGCCGUAACUUCGGGAGAAGGCACGCUGGCAUUAGGUAAAGAGACUUGCUCUCGGCGCCGAAGCCAGUCGCAGAUACCAGCUGGCUGCAACUGUUUAAUAAAAACACAGCACUGUGCAAACACGAAAGUGGACGUAUACGGUGUGACGCCUGCCCGGUGCUGGAAGGUUAAUUGAUGGGGUCAGCCGCAAGGCGAAGCUCUUGAUCGAAGCCCCAGUAAACGGCGGCCGUAACUAUAACGGUCCUAAGGUAGCGAAAUUCCUUGUCGGGUAAGUUCCGACCUGCACGAAUGGCGUAAUGAUGGCCAGGCUGUCUCCACCCGAGACUCAGUGAAAUUGAACUCGCUGUGAAGAUGCAGUGUACCCGCGGCAAGACGGAAAGACCCCGUGAACCUUUACUAUAGCUUGACACUGAAUAUUGAGCCUUGAUGUGUAGGAUAGGUGGGAGGCAUCGAAGCGUGGACGCCAGUCUGCGUGGAGCCAACCUUGAAAUACCACCCUUUAAUGUUUGAUGUUCUAACUCGGCCCCAUAAUCUGGGGUGAGGACAGUGUCUGGUGGGUAGUUUGACUGGGGCGGUCUCCUCCCAAAGAGUAACGGAGGAGCACGAAGGUUAGCUAAUCACGGUCGGACAUCGUGAGGUUAGUGCAAAGGCAUAAGCUAGCUUGACUGCGAGAGUGACGGCUCGAGCAGGUACGAAAGUAGGUCUUAGUGAUCCGGUGGUUCUGAAUGGAAGGGCCAUCGCUCAACGGAUAAAAGGUACUCCGGGGAUAACAGGCUGAUACCGCCCAAGAGUUCAUAUCGACGGCGGUGUUUGGCACCUCGAUGUCGGCUCAUCACAUCCUGGGGCUGAAGUAGGUCCCAAGGGUAUGGCUGUUCGCCAUUUAAAGUGGUACGCGAGCUGGGUUUAGAACGUCGUGAGACAGUUCGGUCCCUAUCUGCCGUGGGCGUUGGAAGAUUGAGAGGGGCUGCUCCUAGUACGAGAGGACCGGAGUGGACGCAUCACUGGUGUUCGGGUUGUCAUGCCAAUGGCAUUGCCCGGUAGCUAAAUGCGGAAAAGAUAAGCGCUGAAAGCAUCUAAGCGCGAAACUUGCCUCGAGAUGAGUCUUCCCUGGGGCUUUAAGCCCCCUGAAGGAACGUUAAAGACUAUGACGUUGAUAGGCUGGGUGUGUAAGUGCAGCGAUGCAUUGAGCUAACCAGUACUAAUGAUCCGUGAGGCUUAACCUU